GGCGCCGCCACUCCCGUGCCUCUUCGCUUCCAACGUCGCGGCCGGCCUUUAAUGGAAAGCUACGGCGUGAACUCAUUCCCCAACCAGCACUCCUUCCUCUCUCAACGCUUGGCUUGCUCCCCAACUGGACUUUGGAGAGACCUAGAUGAUCGUACAUCCAUUAAAUCUGCAUGUGUCUUGUUCUGCUUUUCAUUGGAUCCAAAUGUGAGAGAGUCUUCAAGAAGGAGAUUAGGAGAAGGGAGAAAAUUUAGGCAAUUCAGGCGUGUCUUUUUGUUCGUGUUGACUGCUAUGGUGUACGGAUAAGCCACCUACAACAUCCACAUGAAUCGGUUUCCAGGAUAGUUAUUCUUUGAGUAAACAAUUUUGGAGUGAAGAGCAUGGUAGAUCGGGGAUGAUCCAGAAACAAAUGUAAGUUCAGGCAAUAGUUUUAUUUCUCAUGGAAACACAAAUGUUUUAUGUUGCAACCAGUUUUGACAAGGCUAUUUGUUUUGCCAAAAAGAAAGAUGUGUCCACUGACAAUUAGGAAGUUGAUCUUUUCUGGCGCUAUAUUGUUUCAUUACUAUCAUGAUGGAUAAAUAGUAGUAUUCUCAGUCUUAGAGUCCAAGA
Molecule: long non-coding RNA, 606 nt
Organism: Triticum dicoccoides
Lineage: Eukaryota; Viridiplantae; Streptophyta; Magnoliopsida; Poales; Poaceae
Exons: 3
Source: RefSeq, a predicted model, not a curated record